RNAcentral lists this ribosomal RNA (474 nucleotides) under uncultured bacterium. Its description in RNAcentral is "partial 16S ribosomal RNA". It matches the Rfam family "Bacterial small subunit ribosomal RNA", at positions 28 to 507 of the family's 1533-position model. The record is from RNAcentral.
GACGAACGCUGGCGGCGUGCUUAACACAUGCAAGUCGAACGGUAAGGCCCUUCGGGGUACACGAGUGGCGAACGGGUGAGUAACACGUGGGUAAUCUGCCCUGCACAUCGGGAUAAGCCUGGGAAACUGGGUCUAAUACCGAAUAGGACCACAGGACACAUGUCCUGUGGUGGAAAGCUUUUGCGGUGUGGGAUGGGCCCGCGGCCUAUCAGCUUGUUGGUGGGGUGAUGGCCUACCAAGGCGACGACGGGUAGCCGGCCUGAGAGGGUGUCCGGCCACACUGGGACUGAGAUACGGCCCAGACUCCUACGGGAGGCAGCAGUGGGGGAUAUUGCACAAUGGGCGAAAGCCUGAUGCAGCGACGCCGCGUGGGGGAUGACGGCCUUCGGGUUGUAAACCUCUUUCACCAUCGACGAAGGUCCGGGUUUUCUCGGGCUGACGGUAGGUGGAGAAGAAGCACCGGCCAACUACGUG